Molecule: ribosomal RNA, 467 nt
Filed under: uncultured bacterium
Lineage: Bacteria
Description: partial 16S ribosomal RNA
Rfam family: Bacterial small subunit ribosomal RNA
Source: RNAcentral
GACGAACGCUGGCGGCGUGCUUAACACAUGCAAGUCGAACGGAAAGGCCUCUUUCGGGGGGUACUCGAGUGGCGAACGGGUGAGUAACACGUGAGUAACCUGCCCUUGACUUUGGGAUAACUUCAGGAAACUGGGGCUAAUACCGGAUAGGAGCUCCUGCUGCAUGGUGGGGGUUGGAAAGUUUCGGCGGUUGGGGAUGGACUCGCGGCUUAUCAGCUUGUUGGUGGGGUAGUGGCUUACCAAGGCUUUGACGGGUAGCCGGCCUGAGAGGGUGACCGGCCACAUUGGGACUGAGAUACGGCCCAGACUCCAACGGGAGGCAGCAGUGGGGAAUAUUGCACAAUGGGUGGAAGCCUGAUGCAGCAACGCCGUGUGCGGGAUGACGGCCUUCGGGUUGUAAACCGCUUUCGCUCAUGACGAAGCUUUGUGUGACGGUAGUGGGUAAAGAAGCACCGGCUAACUACGUG